AUGUACGUGGACGGAAGUAUCCUCAGGCGAUUACGGAGUCGGAGUACAGUACAACCAAAUCAAAAGCGCAUUUAGAUUUAACUUUCAUCUCCUAAAGCUAGGGUUAGGGUUUCAAUCGGAUUCGAUCAGAUCUCUACGAAGAUGGCGAUGAGGAACUUCUACAACGAGAUCAAGGGCAUGAAAGUGAAGGAGGUGCCGGCGCACCUGAAACCGAUGCUGUCCAUCAGUUACCUCAAGAAUGCGUUCAAGAGGGGUUUGGAUAACUACCACGCCAAGUAUAUUGAGACCAACUCCAUCGACCCUCUCUAUCACGUCUGUUUUGGCGGCAUGGCUUUCUCCUACCUAGUCGCUCUUCCCGAGGAGCGCCGUCAUCUCGAGCAUCAACAGCAUGCCCAGGAGCACGGCGGCCACUGAUUCAUUUUCAUUCCGUUUCCUUUCCUUCAAGAUUCUGCAAAGCUUGAGCGGCGACUUCACAAGGGCGAGAACUGAAGUCUGAUGGUUGCUAUUUCUUUCAAUGUAUCAAAAGUACAAGUAUUGAAAGUCCAGUCUUGGAUCAUAAAAAUAAAUUUCUGAAAACCCUUACCAUGCUGACAAUCAAGUUUGCCGGGAUUAUGUGAUAUGAAUGUUGUUCCAUUUGCAAUCAUGAAGACUUAAUUUUUAUAAUAA
This is a long non-coding RNA of Ipomoea nil (Japanese morning glory), 666 nucleotides long. RefSeq lists it as uncharacterized. The record is from RefSeq and is a predicted model, not a curated record. The transcript is spliced from 2 exons. NCBI's taxonomy places the organism in Eukaryota, Viridiplantae, Streptophyta, Magnoliopsida, Solanales, Convolvulaceae.